This 240-nucleotide long non-coding RNA is filed under the name Salvia miltiorrhiza (redroot sage). Its description in RNAcentral is "long non-coding RNA (SMIL_LNC000099)". Lineage: Eukaryota; Viridiplantae; Streptophyta; Magnoliopsida; Lamiales; Lamiaceae. The record is from RNAcentral.
GCAGUGCUAUGCCUGAGAGAUGGCAUUCCUGUGAUCGGCGGUGAGGCUAAGUCAGGCUUAGAUUCUUCCAUUCACACAAGGAACCUGAUAAUUUUCUAUGAAGACCCUAGCGAGAUGAUUUUGAAACGAGAAACUUUAGGAUUCUUGGGGAUGGUAAAUCCCAGCAUGAUUUUUGAAUAGAAGAAGAUGAUUGAGACACGGAGGAAGAAGAUAAAAGAGCCCUUUUUUUCUGAUAUUCUU